Molecule: ribosomal RNA, 472 nt
Filed under: uncultured bacterium
Lineage: Bacteria
Description: partial 16S ribosomal RNA
Rfam family: Bacterial small subunit ribosomal RNA
Source: RNAcentral
GACGAACGCUGGCGGCGUGCUUAACACAUGCAAGUCGAGCGGAAAGGCCCUUCUGGGUACUCGAGCUGCGAACGGGUGAGUAACACGUAAGUAAUCUUCCCUUGGCUUUGGCAUAACUACCGGAACCGGUGGCUAAUACCGGAUACGACUACCGUCUGCUUCGGCUGGUUGUGGAAAGUUUUUUUUGCCAGGGAUGUGCUCGCCGCCUGUCAGCUUGUUGGUGGGGUAAUGGCCUACCAAGGCUUCGACGGGUAGCCGGGCUGGGAGGGCGACCGGCCACACCGGGAAUGAGGGACGGCAGAGACUGCCAAGGGAGGUAGGAGUGGGGAAAAUUGGAAAAAGGGCGGAAGGCGGAGCCAGCAACGCCGGGAGAGGGAUGAGGGGGUUCGGGGUGUAAACCUCUUUCAGUACCGACGAAGGGCAGAUGAUGGUGGUGACGGUAGGUACAGAAGAAGCACCGGCCAACUACGUG